AUUGAACGCUGGCGGGAGGCUUUACACAUGCAAGUCGAACGGCAGCACGGACUUGGUUCUUGCUUCGAUUGGCGAACGGGGGAGUAAUGUAACUGAACGGGCCCAUGACCGGUGGAGAACUACGCCAAAUCGUAACUAAUGCCACAUACGCCCUACGUGGCAAAACAGGGGAGCGUGAGACCUUGGACUAUUGCAACGGCCGAUAUCGGAUUAGCUAGUUGGUGAGGUAACGGCUCACCAAGGCGACGAUCCGUAGCUGGUUUGAGAGGAUGACCAGCCACACUGGGACUGAGACACGGCCCAGACUCCUACGGGAGGCAGCAGUGGGGAAUUUUGGACAAUGGGGGCAACCCUGAUCCAGCCAUCCCGCGUGUGUGAUGAAGGCCUUCGGGUUGUAAAGUACUUUUGGCAGGAAAGAAACGUGGAGGGCUAAUACCUCGUGGAACUGACGGUACCUGCAGAAGAAGCACCGGCUAACUACGUG
Molecule: ribosomal RNA, 484 nt
Filed under: uncultured bacterium
Lineage: Bacteria
Description: partial 16S ribosomal RNA
Rfam family: Bacterial small subunit ribosomal RNA
Source: RNAcentral